CGCGUAGGCGGUGAUGUAAGUUAGUUGUGAAAUACCAGAGCUCAACUCUGGCCUGUCAACUAAAACUGCAUUACUCGAGGACAGUAGAGGUAAGAGGAAUUUCCGGUGUAGCGGUGGAAUGCGUAGAUAUCGGAAGGAACACCAAUGGCGAAGGCAACUUACUGGACUGUACCUGACGUUGAGGCGCGAAAGCGUGGGUAGCGAACA
This 207-nucleotide ribosomal RNA is filed under the name uncultured bacterium. RNAcentral describes it as "partial 16S ribosomal RNA". It matches the Rfam family "Bacterial small subunit ribosomal RNA", at positions 568 to 774 of the family's 1533-position model. The record is from RNAcentral.